GCCGUGCGCAGCUAGUACUUGGCAACGGUGGAAUAUCAGCUGGGCAACGAUCUUUUUUUCAACUGGCUGUCAUCGUGACGGUUUAUGAGUUUGCAGAGCAAAACAAUUGUUUAGCUCUCAAGGCCAGUGUCUCCUACGUCAGCCAGAACCAUGGGGAGUUGUCUCAAAGUGGGCAGUACACGCAACAUCGUCCGAAAGCGGCACAGAGUCGUCCAGAGAGGUAGCUUGGGUCUUCGAAGAAGGCUUUAAUCUCUUCACAGAGUUGUCAGAUGUCUCCUAAAUGCCUAUGUUUAGGGCAGGAGGCACUACGGGGAACACUGCCGGGUUGGAGACAACGUAUAUGUGCUUGCACGAGGCUUCAGGAAGCCUGAUCCGAAGUCGGACGCGUGUGCUGGUAGGAACCCACAACUGCGUGUCGAACCCUUUUCUCAAAGCUAAUUCAUCUCAGAAAUUCAUGCUCAUUGUGCAGUCUAUUUCAUGUCUCUGGCACAUUCACACCACACGUUUAAGAUGUCAGUUUCGCUCCCCUGCGGUGUAUAAUCGUUAUCAAUCUCGCAGUGUGAGCUAGCAUUUUGUCGGCAGGAGCUGUGAGCAGUCGGUCGUCCGUACAAUUGGUAAAGCAUUUUGAAAGAAGAAAUCAUUUUGUUAUUCAUAGAGAGUGAGAAUCGGAAGAUGGUGUUGAUGAAGUAUUCCGUCUGUUCCCUGUCGCAGACAGAGCAGUUCACUCCUUCACAGGCUGGUGGGUAUGACGAUUAAGGCAAAAUCAUGCCUGUCGACAUUUCUUGCACGCUAUCGUACCGUCGCGGCCGUGUAAUCAGUCAGUUUUUUCAAGAAUGCAUUGAUGUUCAGUUUCGCGGGAGAAAGGCGCAUUCAGGGAUUCCGGAGGCAUGUACUGCAGAUGGCUUCCGUUUUUUAUCCUAGGGUGUGAGUUCGCGGCUGACAUUGUUGGAGAUAUCUCCUGUCAAAGGUGUCAUCGGCAGGCCGAUACAAGGCAAGCGUAUACUGCGCCUACGUGCUGUUCACAGGAGAGAUGACGCUUUACGUGCUCAACUGCAUCUACCGUAUGCAGCAGUUUCGUUUUGAAAACUGAGGUUUCGCAGGAAAGCACACCGAUCCGUAUACGGUUGCUCCUAACCAACUCUGUCUCACCUUCGCUUAUGUGUAACCAUGCUUUCAGAAGCCAGUAUAACCUCGAUCUC
RNAcentral lists this long non-coding RNA (1199 nucleotides) under Toxoplasma gondii VEG. The record is from RNAcentral. Lineage: Eukaryota; Apicomplexa; Conoidasida; Eucoccidiorida; Sarcocystidae.